UACGUAGGGUGCGAGCGUUGUCCGGAAUCAUUGGGCGUAAAGCGCGCGUAGGCGGCCCGAUAAGUCCGCUGUAAAAGUCAACGGCUCAACUGUUGAAAGCCGGUGGAUACUGUCGGGCUAGAGUACGGAAGAGGCAAGUGGAAUUCCUGGUGUAGCGGCGGAAUGCGCAGAUAUCAGGAGGAACACCUAUAGCGAAGGCAGCUUGCUGGGACGUUACUGACGCUAAGGCGCGAAAGCGUGGGGAGCGAACAGG
Molecule: ribosomal RNA, 253 nt
Filed under: uncultured bacterium
Lineage: Bacteria
Description: partial 16S ribosomal RNA
Rfam family: Bacterial small subunit ribosomal RNA
Source: RNAcentral